This 2904-nucleotide ribosomal RNA is filed under the name Escherichia coli. Its description in RNAcentral is "23S ribosomal RNA". It matches the Rfam family "Bacterial large subunit ribosomal RNA". The record is from RNAcentral. Lineage: Bacteria; Pseudomonadati; Pseudomonadota; Gammaproteobacteria; Enterobacterales; Enterobacteriaceae.
GGUUAAGCGACUAAGCGUACACGGUGGAUGCCCUGGCAGUCAGAGGCGAUGAAGGACGUGCUAAUCUGCGAUAAGCGUCGGUAAGGUGAUAUGAACCGUUAUAACCGGCGAUUUCCGAAUGGGGAAACCCAGUGUGAUUCGUCACACUAUCAUUAACUGAAUCCAUAGGUUAAUGAGGCGAACCGGGGGAACUGAAACAUCUAAGUACCCCGAGGAAAAGAAAUCAACCGAGAUUCCCCCAGUAGCGGCGAGCGAACGGGGAGCAGCCCAGAGCCUGAAUCAGUGUGUGUGUUAGUGGAAGCGUCUGGAAAGGCGCGCGAUACAGGGUGACAGCCCCGUACACAAAAAUGCACAUGCUGUGAGCUCGAUGAGUAGGGCGGGACACGUGGUAUCCUGUCUGAAUAUGGGGGGACCAUCCUCCAAGGCUAAAUACUCCUGACUGACCGAUAGUGAACCAGUACCGUGAGGGAAAGGCGAAAAGAACCCCGGCGAGGGGAGUGAAAAAGAACCUGAAACCGUGUACGUACAAGCAGUGGGAGCCUCUUUAUGGGGUGACUGCGUACCUUUUGUAUAAUGGGUCAGCGACUUAUAUUCUGUAGCAAGGUUAACCGAAUAGGGGAGCCGAAGGGAAACCGAGUCUUAACUGGGCGUUAAGUUGCAGGGUAUAGACCCGAAACCCGGUGAUCUAGCCAUGGGCAGGUUGAAGGUUGGGUAACACUAACUGGAGGACCGAACCGACUAAUGUUGAAAAAUUAGCGGAUGACUUGUGGCUGGGGGUGAAAGGCCAAUCAAACCGGGAGAUAGCUGGUUCUCCCCGAAAGCUAUUUAGGUAGCGCCUCGUGAAUUCAUCUCCGGGGGUAGAGCACUGUUUCGGCAAGGGGGUCAUCCCGACUUACCAACCCGAUGCAAACUGCGAAUACCGGAGAAUGUUAUCACGGGAGACACACGGCGGGUGCUAACGUCCGUCGUGAAGAGGGAAACAACCCAGACCGCCAGCUAAGGUCCCAAAGUCAUGGUUAAGUGGGAAACGAUGUGGGAAGGCCCAGACAGCCAGGAUGUUGGCUUAGAAGCAGCCAUCAUUUAAAGAAAGCGUAAUAGCUCACUGGUCGAGUCGGCCUGCGCGGAAGAUGUAACGGGGCUAAACCAUGCACCGAAGCUGCGGCAGCGACACUAUGUGUUGUUGGGUAGGGGAGCGUUCUGUAAGCCUGCGAAGGUGUACUGUGAGGUAUGCUGGAGGUAUCAGAAGUGCGAAUGCUGACAUAAGUAACGAUAAAGCGGGUGAAAAGCCCGCUCGCCGGAAGACCAAGGGUUCCUGUCCAACGUUAAUCGGGGCAGGGUGAGUCGACCCCUAAGGCGAGGCCGAAAGGCGUAGUCGAUGGGAAACAGGUUAAUAUUCCUGUACUUGGUGUUACUGCGAAGGGGGGACGGAGAAGGCUAUGUUGGCCGGGCGACGGUUGUCCCGGUUUAAGCGUGUAGGCUGGUUUUCCAGGCAAAUCCGGAAAAUCAAGGCUGAGGCGUGAUGACGAGGCACUACGGUGCUGAAGCAACAAAUGCCCUGCUUCCAGGAAAAGCCUCUAAGCAUCAGGUAACAUCAAAUCGUACCCCAAACCGACACAGGUGGUCAGGUAGAGAAUACCAAGGCGCUUGAGAGAACUCGGGUGAAGGAACUAGGCAAAAUGGUGCCGUAACUUCGGGAGAAGGCACGCUGAUAUGUAGGUGAAGUCCCUCGCGGAUGGAGCUGAAAUCAGUCGAAGAUACCAGCUGGCUGCAACUGUUUAUUAAAAACACAGCACUGUGCAAACACGAAAGUGGACGUAUACGGUGUGACGCCUGCCCGGUGCCGGAAGGUUAAUUGAUGGGGUUAGCGGUAACGCGAAGCUCUUGAUCGAAGCCCCGGUAAACGGCGGCCGUAACUAUAACGGUCCUAAGGUAGCGAAAUUCCUUGUCGGGUAAGUUCCGACCUGCACGAAUGGCGUAAUGAUGGCCAGGCUGUCUCCACCCGAGACUCAGUGAAAUUGAACUCGCUGUGAAGAUGCAGUGUACCCGCGGCAAGACGGAAAGACCCCGUGAACCUUUACUAUAGCUUGACACUGAACAUUGAGCCUUGAUGUGUAGGAUAGGUGGGAGGCUUUGAAGUGUGGACGCCAGUCUGCAUGGAGCCGACCUUGAAAUACCACCCUUUAAUGUUUGAUGUUCUAACGUUGGCCCCUAAUCGGGGUUGCGGACAGUGUCUGGUGGGUAGUUUGACUGGGGCGGUCUCCUCCUAAAGAGUAACGGAGGAGCACGAAGGUUGGCUAAUCCUGGUCGGACAUCAGGAGGUUAGUGCAAUGGCAUAAGCCAGCUUGACUGCGAGCGUGACGGCGCGAGCAGGUGCGAAAGCAGGUCAUAGUGAUCCGGUGGUUCUGAAUGGAAGGGCCAUCGCUCAACGGAUAAAAGGUACUCCGGGGAUAACAGGCUGAUACCGCCCAAGAGUUCAUAUCGACGGCGGUGUUUGGCACCUCGAUGUCGGCUCAUCACAUCCUGGGGCUGAAGUAGGUCCCAAGGGUAUGGCUGUUCGCCAUUUAAAGUGGUACGCGAGCUGGGUUUAGAACGUCGUGAGACAGUUCGGUCCCUAUCUGCCGUGGGCGCUGGAGAACUGAGGGGGGCUGCUCCUAGUACGAGAGGACCGGAGUGGACGCAUCACUGGUGUUCGGGUUGUCAUGCCAAUGGCACUGCCCGGUAGCUAAAUGCGGAAGAGAUAAGUGCUGAAAGCAUCUAAGCACGAAACUUGCCCCGAGAUGAGUUCUCCCUGACUCCCUGAGAGUCCUGAAGGAACGUUGAAGACGACGACGUUGAUAGGCCGGGUGUGUAAGCGCAGCGAUGCGUUGAGCUAACCGGUACUAAUGAACCGUGAGGCUUAACCUU